GAUGAACGCUGGCGGCGUGCUUAACACAUGCAAGUCGAACGAAGCAUUCAUAUGGAAGUUUUCGGAUGGAAAUAUGAAUGACUUAGUGGCGGACGGGUGAGUAACGCGUGGGUAACCUGCCUCAUACAGGGGGAUAACAGCCAGAAAUGGCCGCUAACACCGCAUAAGCGCACAGUACCGCAUGGUACGGUGUGAAAAACAUCAGUGGUAUGAGAUGGACCCGCGUCUGAUUAGCUAGUUGGUAAGGUAGAGGCUUACCAAGGCGACGAUCAGUAGCCGGCCUGAGAGGGUGAACGGCCACAUUGGGACUGAGACACGGCCCAGACUCCUACGGGAGGCAGCAGUGGGGAAUAUUGCACAAUGGGCGAAAGCCUGAUGCAGCGACGCCGCGUGAGCGAAGAAGUAUUUCGGUAUGUAAAGCUCUAUCAGCAAGGAAGAUAAUGACGGUACUUGACUAAGAAGCCCCGGCUAACUACGUGCCAGCAGCCGCGGUAAUACGUAGGGGGCAAGCGUUAUCCGGAUUUACUGGGUGUAAAGGGAGUGUAGGCGGCGAUGCAAGUCAGAAGUGAAGACCCGGGGCUCAACCCCGGGACUGCUUUUGAAACUGUGUUGCUAGAGUGCAGGAGAGGUAAGUGGAAUUCCUAGUGUAGCGGUGAAAUGCGUAGAUAUUAGGAGGAACACCAGUGGCGAAGGCGGCUUACUGGACUGUAACUGACGCUGAGGCUCGAAAGCGUGGGGAGCAAACAGGAUUAGAUACCCUGGUAGUCCACGCUGUAAACGAUGAGUGCUAAGUGUUGGGGGUCGAACCUCAGUGCUGAAGUUAACGCAUUAAGCACUCCGCCUGGGGAGUACGGUCGCAAGACUG
Molecule: ribosomal RNA, 865 nt
Filed under: uncultured bacterium
Lineage: Bacteria
Description: bacterial SSU rRNA
Rfam family: Bacterial small subunit ribosomal RNA
Source: RNAcentral